This 381-nucleotide ribosomal RNA is filed under the name uncultured marine Chaetocerotaceae. RNAcentral's name for it is "SSU rRNA". It matches the Rfam family "Eukaryotic small subunit ribosomal RNA", at positions 587 to 972 of the family's 1831-position model. The record is from RNAcentral. Lineage: Eukaryota; Bacillariophyta; Thalassiosirophyceae; Chaetocerotales; Chaetocerotaceae.
AGCUCCAAUAGCGUAUAUUAAAGUUGCUGCAGUUAAAAAGCUCGUAGUUGCAUUUCCGAGGCAAGGGAUUAGUCCGACCUUUGGUGGGUAUUUAAUCCUCUUGCCUCGUCCUUGAGUGGUGCUUCUUGGUAUUAAGUUAUCGAGGAGAUAGCCGCUCAUCGUUUACUGUGAGAAAAUUAGAGUAUUCAAAGCAGGCUUAUGCCGUUGAAUAUACUAGCAUGGAAUAAUAAGAUAGGACCUCGGUACUAUUUUGUUGGUUUGAGAACCAAGGUAAUGAUGAAUAGGGACAGUUGGGGGUAUUCGUAUUCAGUUGUCAGAGGUGAAAUUCUUAGAUUUACGGAAGACGAACUACUGCGAAAGCAUUUACCAAGGAUGUUUUCA